UACAGAGGGGGCAAGCGUUGUUCGGAAUUACUGGGCGUAAAGGGCGCGUAGGUGGCCUUCUAAGUUGAACGUGAAAUCCCUGGGCUCAACCCAGGAACUGCGUCCAAGACUGGGAGGCUUGAAUCCGGGAGAGGGAUGCGGAAUUCCAGGUGUAGCGGUGAAAUGCGUAGAUAUCCGGAGGAACACCGGUGGCGAAGGCGGCAUCCUGGACCAACACUGACGCUGAGUGAGCGAAAGCCAGGGGAGCAAACGGG
RNAcentral lists this ribosomal RNA (254 nucleotides) under uncultured bacterium. RNAcentral describes it as "partial 16S ribosomal RNA". It matches the Rfam family "Bacterial small subunit ribosomal RNA", at positions 524 to 776 of the family's 1533-position model. The record is from RNAcentral.